This is a non-coding RNA of Schizosaccharomyces pombe (fission yeast), 1045 nucleotides long. NCBI's taxonomy places the organism in Eukaryota, Fungi, Ascomycota, Schizosaccharomycetes, Schizosaccharomycetales, Schizosaccharomycetaceae. The record is from the annotation of a GenBank genome assembly.
AACCAACACCCAAAAAAUAAAGAGAACAAACCCAAUCAAUUAAAAAGUAAAGAGGAGGAAGGGGAGAAGAGGAGAAAAUAAGGCGGACCAAGGAAAUCAAUAGCAGAAAAAAAAAGAAUAUACAGACUAGUAAACAAAAAAAGAAAGAGAAAGGAAAAAGUUAACUCAUUAAAUUCGUUUAGGAACUUGACUAGAAAACCUCGAAGGAUUUGGAAAAAAGGACAUGGGAAAAGACGUAGGGCGAGAGAUUGAUGGAGAGGAGGAAGAUGAAGGUUGAGUUUUGACGGCGUUGAACGAUUUAAAAUUCUGAGAGGUGAAAGACUUUGGAGGAAGAGGAAUGGACGGAUAGGUAUUAGAGGUUAAAGGACGCUUUGUAGAAGUAUUAGUAGCGUUAGAAGAAGAACGUCCAAGGGGAUGCAAUUGGGGAAAGCUCCGAGAGGAUGAAGUAGCUGAAACAAUAUGACGGGUAGCAGAGCCUUUUUGAGAAAAUCACUUUUAGCUCUCGCCAUUAGAGAACUUUUUGGACAAUAAUUACUCAUGGGACGCGGACGCUUAGGAGGCCGAGCAGCUCUAGGCUCACGCUCUAAAGGAACAAUUCGCUUGUUUUGUUUACUUUGCUCUAGCUUGGUGUAAGCACUUCGAAGCUUAGCAGAAGCAACGUUAUAAUGAGCAUUUCUUUUUUUCUUAAGUUUUCCGUAGAGCCCUCUCCAAUCAUCAAUAUUGUUCAAUAUAGUUCGUUUUUGAAGUUCUAAUCCAAAAUCACGCAAAACGUGAUCUUUCCACAAUGGUUGAGUGUCAACUUUCAAAUGAGGCGACUUUUCUUCCAAGUCUAUUAAAUGUUCUGGUCUAGCUUUUUCCAGGAUAGGUUUUACGAGUUCGAAUGGGCAAUCGCCAAUAUCAUCGAUGUCGUGCACAUGCUUCUGCGCGACUUGGAUGCACAAAUCUUUUAAAGAAUACAUCGCUCAUAUGAUAGUAAUUUUUAAAAAUUUCAAAGAAAACGAUCGAAUUAGAGCUCUAUAGUCUUCAAUUGGAAGAGUGCUUUUAC